AUUUAUAUAGUUUAACAAAAACAUUACAUUUUCACUGUAAAAAUAAAAAUUUAUUUUUUAUAAAUA
RNAcentral lists this transfer RNA (66 nucleotides) under Anopheles funestus (African malaria mosquito). RNAcentral's name for it is "tRNA-Glu". RNAcentral also lists the same sequence under 5 other names. Lineage: Eukaryota; Metazoa; Arthropoda; Insecta; Diptera; Culicidae. The record is from RNAcentral.